UACGUAGGGGGCUAGCGUUGUCCGGAAUCAUUGGGCGUAAAGCGCGUGUAGGCGGCCCGGUAAGUCCGCUGUGAAAGUCGGGGGCUCAACCUCGGGCCUGCAGUCGAUACGGGCAAACUAGAGUACUGCAGGGGAGACUGGAAUUCCUGGUGUAGCGGUGAAAUGCGCAGAUAUCAGGAGGAACACCGGUGGCGAAGGCGGGUCUCUGGGCAGUAACUGACGCUGAGGAGCGAAAGCGUGGGGAGCGAACAGG
This 253-nucleotide ribosomal RNA is filed under the name uncultured bacterium. Its description in RNAcentral is "partial 16S ribosomal RNA". It matches the Rfam family "Bacterial small subunit ribosomal RNA", at positions 524 to 776 of the family's 1533-position model. The record is from RNAcentral.